CCUACGAGUGGCAGCAGUGAGGAAUAUUGGUCAAUGGACGAGAGUCUGAACCAGCCAAGCAGCGUGAAGGAUGACUGCCCUAGGGGUUGUAAACUUCUUUUAUAUGGGAAUAAAAUGUUCCACGUGUGGGAUUUUGUAUGUACCAUAUGAAUAAGGAUCGGCUAACUACGUGCCAGCAGCCGCGGUAAUACGGAGGAUCCGAGCGUUAUCCGGAUUUCUUGGGUGUAAAGGGAGCGUAGGUGGAUUGUUAAGUCAGUUGUGAAAGUUUGCGGCUCAAACGUAAAAUUGCAGUUGAAACUGGCAGUCUAGAGUACAGUAGAGGGAGGAGGAAUUCGUGGUGUAGCGGUGAAAUGCUUAGAUAUCACGAAGAACUCCGAUUGCGAAGGCAGCUCACUGGACUGCAACUGACACUGAGGCUCGAAAGUGUGGGUAUCAAACAGGAUUAGAUACCCGUGUAGUC
This 460-nucleotide ribosomal RNA is filed under the name uncultured bacterium. RNAcentral's name for it is "partial 16S ribosomal RNA". It matches the Rfam family "Bacterial small subunit ribosomal RNA", at positions 338 to 795 of the family's 1533-position model. The record is from RNAcentral.